AUUGAACGCUGGCGGCAGGCCUAACACAUGCAAGUCGAGCGGAUGAAGGGAGCUUGCUCCUGGAUUCAGCGGCGGAAGGGUGAGUAAUGCCUAGGAAUCUGCCUGGUAGUGGGGGAUAACGUCCGGAAACGGGCGCUAAUACCGCCUACGUCCUGAGGGAGAAGGUGGGGGAUCUUCGGACCUCACGCUCUCAGAUGAGCCUAGGUCGGAGUAGCUAGUUGGUGGGGUAAAGGCCUACCAAGGCGACGAUCCGUAACUGGUCUGAGAGGAUGAUCAGUCACACUGGAACUGAGACACGGUCCAGACUCCUACGGGAGGCAGCAGUGGGGAAUAUUGGACAGUGGGCGAAAGCCUGAUCCAGUCAGGCCGCGUGUGUGAAGAAGGUCUUCGGAUUGUAAAGCACUUUAAGUUGGUAGGAAGGGCAGUAAGUUAAUACCUUGCUGUUUUGACGUUACCAACAGAAUAAGCACCGGCUAACUUCGUG
RNAcentral lists this ribosomal RNA (484 nucleotides) under uncultured bacterium. Its description in RNAcentral is "partial 16S ribosomal RNA". It matches the Rfam family "Bacterial small subunit ribosomal RNA", at positions 30 to 507 of the family's 1533-position model. The record is from RNAcentral.